CGAAAGCCUGACGGAGCAAUACCGCGUGAGGGAGGAAGGCUCUUGGGUUGUAAACCUCUUUUCUCAGGGAAGAAAAAAAUGACGGUACCUGAGGAAUAAGCAUCGGCUAACUCCGUGCCAGCAGCCGCGGUAAUACGGAGGAUGCAAGCGUUAUCCGGAAUGAUUGGGCGUAAAGCGUCCGCAGGUGGCUGUGUAAGUCUGCUGUUAAAGAGUGAGGCUCAACCUCAUAAGAGCAGUGGAAACUACAUAGCUAGAGUACGUUCGGGGCAGAGGGAAUUCCUGGUGUAGCGGUGAAAUGCGUAGAGAUCAGGAAGAACACCGGUGGCGAAAGCGCUCUGCUAGGCCGUAACUGACACUGAGGGACGAAAGCUAGGGGAGCG
This 380-nucleotide ribosomal RNA is filed under the name uncultured Calochaete sp. RNAcentral's name for it is "bacterial SSU rRNA". It matches the Rfam family "Bacterial small subunit ribosomal RNA", at positions 376 to 770 of the family's 1533-position model. The record is from RNAcentral. Lineage: Bacteria; Bacillati; Cyanobacteriota; Cyanophyceae; Nostocales; Fortieaceae.